Molecule: long non-coding RNA, 3674 nt
Organism: Pseudopipra pipra
Lineage: Eukaryota; Metazoa; Chordata; Aves; Passeriformes; Pipridae
Exons: 2
Source: RefSeq, a predicted model, not a curated record
GACUCCCCCUCCUCUCCAUCCCUCCACCCCCGCCGGGCCCCGCGCGGCGCCUCUCGCUCCCCGUCCUCAGGGCGGCCUCCCCCGCUUCUCCGCGGCCUCCCCGUUUGCCAGACGGCGGCUGCAGGCGGCCCGCGGUGAGGGAGGGGAGCGCCCCGGUCUCGGGGCACCGGGGGCGCCUCAGGCCGCGGGGAGAGCCCAGGAUGGCACGGGGCGAACGGGUUUUCCUCAGAAUUUUCUGGCAGAUCGGUAAACUGUGCAAAUAGAGCGCAGGUCGGAGCGUGUCGGGGGGCUGAUGGGCGGCCGGCGGGGCCCCCCGGCACAUCUGAGGCACCUCCGCUUCAUCCCCGUGGGGUCUGAGCCCUCAGAAGUUCUUCGUCUCUCGAUGACCAAAGAGAGAGAUUUCAGGCUGUUCCCUGUUUAUAAUCGCCGUGGUACUCUCAGGAUCGCACUCCUUACCGGUGUGAACAAUAGCUUAGUGCGGGUUACACCAAAACACCCGGGAGCUGCACCUUCACCCGGCGUGUCCGGCCCGGGGAUCGUAAGCCAAAGACGUGGGACAGAUGGUAAAAGCAUCUUAAAAGCAAACGUGCCCCAGCCAGGAAAUGAUGCGGUAAGGAAAGGAAAUUAGCGUCUGGAAAACAUAAACAAACAGCCGCAUCUAAAAAUAGACCUAAUCAGCUUUGAGAUCGUGUUAAAAUGUAGUGAUAAUUGUGCGGUGGGACUGAGAGGCGAAGUGAAGGCUGCCGUGGUGCUUUCGCUUACCUGGAAGUCUGGUGUGUCAGCAGGGAGUUUUACAGAGUUUUUAAUGCAUGUGUUGGGCACAGUUGCAGUAUCAGUGACUAUAAUGCUUAUUACUGUUGUGUAUUAUCAACACUAAGCCUAAACAGUGUUUGUUUGGGAUUUAUUGCUCUGCUGUAAGAGCAGAUAAUAUUGACAGAGAUCAGAGAGCCGUUCAACACUGUGCACUUCAUAUGUCACCCUUCUGCUUGGUUGCCCUCUCUCCUUUCUCAUCUUUCCCCUUCCCAGCCCACUUUGCCUUCCCCCAAGAGGAUGGACAUCUGCCCAUACUUGUAAUGGUUCCUUUUUUCCUUUUAAUUCCAGUUAUGGGGACAGGGGGAGAAUUACAAGGAGUAAUUAAUCAAAAUCUUGUUAAACAAGCCUUAUCCAUCACAGCAUUCAAUGAAUUAUUGUAAAACAUUACAGAAUUAUUCUCUUUUCAUGAUUGUUAUAGACUGUCCCUUGACGGCUCAAUAAAGCAUCCAUCCAACCCAAUUUAAAUGCAGUUUAAUGUUUUGUGUGACACCCAGGGCUGUGGUCUUGCAGGCAGUUAAGCACAUACUUAAUUUCCAGCCUGUUAGCAGUAAAAGUAUUUCCCAGAUUGUUAGUAAUUAAAUCGAUGCCUGGGUGUUAACGCUUAAGGUCGUGGCCUAAAUUUGUGAUAUAAUUAUGGAGAUAAAUGUGGAUUUUGGUAGGUUCCCAGUGUAUGUCAGCAACAAUGGGAAGACAAGACCCUGAACAAAGAAUACUGAUGAAUGCCCAAGGGGUGUUCUUAAUUGCCACAUACAUGUCAAAAGAUGGGAGAUGGCUUUGAAUGCCUGUUACUCCAGCAACCUGAACAAAGCUGUUUCAUGUCUUGGAAAAAAACACAGUUCCAUCCAUGUCCUGAAAUAUUCCCUUCAGCACAAAACCUUCGGCGCUGGUUCCUGUGCCCGGCGCUGGGCCGGGUAACACGUGGCACUGUGUUGGCAGCUCUGCAGUGGGACUGUUAAGCAGGCAUUAAGUUUUCAUUACCUUGGCUGGGUUCCACCGUGCACAGUUUUAGUCUCCCCGCGUCAAGUUUGGGUUUGAUCUUUGCGUUGUGAUCGACAGCGUUUGCCUCGCGCCUUGUGCCGUGUCCUGCGCUCCAGAAACGUUCAUGCACACAAACACCACCCCUGGGGACACAGCAAACAGCCCUUGGGCAGCUCUUGGGGCAGUGUCUCACUGCAGAUUGGUGGCUGAGGUGGCAUCAGUGACAGGUACUUUCCUUGUUGACUUUUUUCCCUUGAUUGAAGCUGUGAGAUUCUCCUGAUGAAGGACAUCUACUAAUCAUUAACUGUUGUGUCCUGUCAGGAUUUGGGCUCUGCUGGAAGGAAAAUGCAACAGCUGCAUUGCUGCUCCUGUGCUACACCUUUGUGUGAAUGACUCUGGAAAGGAUCUGCAGAAAGGACAGUGCAAUGGCUUUCUAGUAAUGCAGAUUUUCAUCCAGCUUGCCUGUUUGUCCUUAUUUUCUCAUAAAUUCUGGUAAAGUUGAAUGGGAUGAUAGCAAAGGAGAAAGGCUAAAUAACUUCUUUGAAAGCUAAGUGGCAUCAGGUGAUAGAGGAGGAAAAAACAAAGAUCAAGGGGGCAAAAAAAGUAGAAAAAUAGGAAUUAAAAGUAGCAGCCUGACUUGUCAUUAAAACCAGAAUCAGUUUUUUGGAAAUUUUGAGUUAUAUUUUUGGAGGUGGGAAGGGAAAAAGCCGAAACAGCUGGCCUGGGGCUAGAAGGGGACUGAAGCUGGUGUGUUUUGGCUUCAGAGUACCUUACAUUAAUCCUUGGAUGUGUUUGAGAAAUCUGGACGUUUACAGCUUUUGCUCGAAAAAAUUAGCAAUGGUUGAAAAGAAAGAAUGAAGAAAACCAGUACUUCUAUUUUUAUAGGAUAUGAACCAGACUGAAAAACAUCUGCUAAUCUUUUUCUGUAAAGAAAAGUUAAUGUUUUGUGGCCAGCACACAGCCGUGGUAAUCCAGAAGAACUGGUUUCUCCACAUGGCUCUGCCACAGUUUCUUUUAAGAGACCUGGGGCAGUCCUUGUACUGGUCAUCAGUGCAGGAGUCCAGCAGUUUUGGGUUUAUUAGUCACUGAAGAAAACACAGAUGGAGUCCUUAGAGCAAGUCCUAAGAUCCUGAUGUGUUUGUUUCCCCCCUGCCCACUCCCACCCAGCACUCCAGUCAUGCCAGUUCUGUGCUGCUUCUCUGUCCUGCUGCGCCUUGGUUUAUUUUACACAAAGUAUAAAUGUCUCAGCAGAAUGGAUGAGCAGCACCCACUCCCCUGCCCAGAACAUCCAGUCUAAAGUCCUGACAGUCAGCAGGGAAGGGGAAAAGAUAAUCCUGCAGUUCAGCCCAAGCUGUGAUGUGCUCAGCCCAUCUCCAGAGAAGAGAACCCUGUUGCAGCUGCAGUGUCCCUGCAGUAUGAGGAGAGAGAGGUGUGUGGAAUGGAACCUGGGUUGGCACACUGUCGUUUUUGAUGUUGCCUUUCAUCUUGAAAAACAGGCUGCACAUGAUAAAUGUGCUUCAGAUUUCUUCUUUUCCUUAUCUGAAAACUGUAUAAACUAUUAGGCUUGAGCACUCUGCUGUGAGGGAUGGUGUUCUGAAAAUCUAAGAGCAAAGAAAUAAGCUAGAUAUUCAUUUUAUUGAAAUAAAAGAAUUUUGAUGACCCCUUUAAAACAGAGGAGCAUAAAUCCUUGUAAUGCAUUUGUCUGCACAUGAAAUAACUUAUCUUGUUAGUGACACUCAUUAUUUACUCUCUUCUGAUUUUCCAGAAACCUUGUUUACAUUACAGACCUGUGGAAGGAAAUUAUCUUGUCUUUGGUCAUAGCUGUCUUCUCACAACUGUGAUGCAAAGGGGGAAUAAAAUGAGUGAAAUUUCCAAACCAGAAA